CUUGACGAACAUAGAGCAUUGGAACCACCUGAUCCCAUUCCGAACUCAGUAGUGAAACGAUGCAUCGCCGAUGGUAGUGUGGGGCCUCCCCAUGUGAGAGUAGGUCAUCGUCAAGC
RNAcentral lists this ribosomal RNA (116 nucleotides) under Thiopseudomonas sp. 4R-3cl. The record is from RNAcentral. Lineage: Bacteria; Pseudomonadati; Pseudomonadota; Gammaproteobacteria; Pseudomonadales; Pseudomonadaceae.